This 468-nucleotide ribosomal RNA is filed under the name uncultured bacterium. Its description in RNAcentral is "partial 16S ribosomal RNA". It matches the Rfam family "Bacterial small subunit ribosomal RNA", at positions 28 to 507 of the family's 1533-position model. The record is from RNAcentral.
GACGAACGCUGGCGGCGCGCUUAACACAUGCAAGUCGAACGGAGAGGCCCUGCUUUUGUGGGGUGCUCGAGUGGCGAACGGGUGAGUAACACGUGAGUAACCUGCCCUUGACUUUGGGAUAACUUCAGGAAACUGGGGCUAAUACCGGAUAGGAGCUCCUGCUGCAUGGUGGGGGUUGGAAAGUUUCGGCGGUUGGGGAUGGACUCGCGGCUUAUCAGCUUGUUGGUGGGGUAGUGGCUUACCAAGGCUUUGACGGGUAGCCGGCCUGAGAGGGUGACCGGCCACAUUGGGACUGAGAUACGGCCCAGACUCCUACGGGAGGCAGCAGUGGGGAAUAUUGCACAAUGGGCGGAAGCCUGAUGCAGCAACGCCGCGUGCGGGAUGACGGCCUUCGGGUUGUAAACCGCUUUCGCCUGUGACGAAGCGUGAGUGACGGUAAUGGGUAAAGAAGCACCGGCUAACUACGUG